AGCUUUCCCUCUCUGCUCAGCGCCCCUUCAGUAAAGCGGCAGGAGAAGCGGAGCCCCUUCCAUUUCUCCUCCUGCUUUGCGGAAGGGGUGCUGUGCAGAGAGGGAAAGCU
RNAcentral lists this microRNA precursor (110 nucleotides) under Podarcis lilfordi (Lilford's wall lizard). Lineage: Eukaryota; Metazoa; Chordata; Lepidosauria; Squamata; Lacertidae. The record is from RNAcentral.